AUUCCAAUCGAACUUGGAGAUAGCUGGUUCUCCCCGAAAUAGCUUUAGGGCUAGCCUCGAGGUAGAGAUUGCAGGCGGUAGAGCACUGAUCAGGAGAGGGGCCUACCCGGCUACCAAACCCAGUCAAACUACGAAUGGCUGCAAUUAUACUCGGGAGUCAGACUACGACUUAUAAGGGCCGUGGUCAAAAGGGAAACAGCCCAGAUCAUCAGCUAAGGUCCCAAAUGCCGUGCUAAGUGGCGAAGGAUGUGGCGUUUCAUAAACAACCAGGAUGUUGGCUCAGAAGCAGCCACCAUUUAAAGAGUGCGUAAUAGCUCACUGGUCGAGAGACGCUGCGCCGAAAAUGUCCGGGGCUCAAGCACGGAACCGAAGCUAUGGCAUGAUAGCAAUAUCAUGGGUAGGGGAGCGUUCUUAACAGGAAGAAGCAUGACCGGAAGGACAUGUGGACCGUUAAGAAGUGAGAAUGCCGGUAUGAGUAUCGAAAAGAAAGGUGAGAAUCCUUUCCACCGAAAGCCCGAGGGUUCCUGAGCAACGAUCGUCGUCUCAGGGUAAGUCGGGACCUAAGCCGAGGCGGAGACGCAUAGGCGAUGGACAACAGGUUGAAAUUCCUGUACCGGAUACAAUCGUUUGAGCGAUGGAGCGACGCAGAAAGGCAUAUGAUCGCGCGACUGGAAGAGCGCGUCCAAGUGCGUAUGUUGAAUCGGAGGCAAAUCCCUGAUUCUGAAAGCAGAGACACGAUGGGGAGUUAUACGAAAGUAUGACGAACUCAUAGAUCCUACACUGCCAAGAAAAACUUCUAGUGAGAAAGUAUCCGCCCGUACCGUAAACCGACACAGGUAGGCGGGGAGAGAAUCCUAAGGUGCGCGGGAAAACCCUCGUUAAGGAACUCGGCAAAUUGCAUCCGUAACUUAGGGAGAAGGAUGACCUUAAGUAAGCGAAAGGGAGAAACCCCUGGAACAGAACAAGGUGGCAGAAAAGAGGCCCAAGCAACUGUUUACCAAAAACACAGGUGCCUGCGAAAGCGAAAGCUGAAGUAUAGGUGCUGACGCCUGCCCGGUGCUGGAAGGUUAAGGAGAGAUGUCAGAGCAAUCGAAGCAUUGAACUGAAGCCCCAGUGAACGGCGGCCGUAACUAUAACGGUCCUAAGGUAGCGAAAUUCCUUGUCGGGUAAGUUCCGACCCGCAUGAAAGGCGUAAUGAUUUGGGCACUGUCUCAACGAGGGGCCCGGUGAAAUUGAAAUACCUGUGAAGAUGCAGGUUACCCGCGACUGGACAGAAAGACCCCAUGGAGCUUCACUGCAGCUUGAGAUUGAAUCUCGGUGAUGCAUGCACAGGAUAGGUGGGAGACUAAGAAGUAUGGGCUUUGGCUUAUACCGAGUCGAUGUUGGGAUACCACCCUUGUAUUGCUGAGAUUCUAACACGGAGGCUAACAACCUCGUGGACCAUCUCAGGUAGGCGGUUUGACUGGGGCGGUCGCCUCCGAAAGAGUAACGGAGGCGCCCAAAGGUUCCCUCAGGUCGGACAGAAACCGACCGAAGAGUGCAAAGGCAGAAGGGAGCUUGACUGCGAGACAGACAAGUCGAGCAGAGACGAAAGUCGGGCUUAGUGAUCCGGUGGUACUGAGUGGAAAGGCCAUCGCUCAACGGAUAAAAGCUACCCUGGGGAUAACAGGCUAAUCUCUCCCAAGAGUUCAUAUCGACGGGGAGGUUUGGCACCUCGAUGUCGGCUCAUCACAUCCUGGAGCUGGAGUAGGUUCCAAGGGUUGGGCUGUUCGCCCAUUAAAGUGGUACGCGAGCUGGGUUCAAAACGUCGUGAGACAGUUUGGUUCAUAUCCAUCGCGGGCGCAAGAAGUUUGAGGGAGGCUGCUCCUAGUACGAGAGGACCGGAGUGGACGGAUCAACGGUGUACCAGUUGUCACGCCAGUGGCACGGCUGGAAAGCCGCAUCCGGAAAGGAUAAACGCUGAAAGCAUCUAAGCGUGAAGCCCGUCCCGAGAUGAGACUUCUCAUCAGCAAUGAGUAAGACCCCUUAAAGACGAUGAGGUUGAUAGGCUGUGAGUGGAAGGCCCGUAAGGGUUGGAGCGACGCAGUACUAAUAGGUCGAGGUCUUAACUUG
Molecule: ribosomal RNA, 2112 nt
Filed under: human gut metagenome
Description: bacterial LSU rRNA
Rfam family: Bacterial large subunit ribosomal RNA
Source: RNAcentral